Mauremys reevesii (Reeves's turtle) is the source of this 1156-nucleotide long non-coding RNA. RefSeq lists it as uncharacterized. The record is from RefSeq and is a predicted model, not a curated record. NCBI's taxonomy places the organism in Eukaryota, Metazoa, Chordata, Testudines, Geoemydidae. The transcript has 3 exons.
CCCCCAUGUGGCCAGUUUGUAACUAGCUCCCCCUGGCAAGGUGUCCUCCUGACAAACACACAUAGUCUACUGAGAAUCAUACAUCAUACCAGGCAUCGUAGAGUGAAGUUCCCAGAUCUGGCUCAAUCUGAUGAAUCCACAAAUAUCUGGGAUGGCCCCAUCAGCGACACAGUACGAAGUUCUCUGUCUCCUGAAUGUAAACAGACACACCUAAUUCUGUACUAAGGUGCCUGAAAGCAACUCCUUGGUUUCACAGAAAGAACUAUGCGGAAGACAACAAGACUGAAGCUGUAGAAGCAGGAGCUGCCGCUACUGUGCUGAGUGGGAAGUUUAACAUGUAGACUGCUUGUGAAUUUCAUGGAAAACAAUAUGAUUCUCUUAGGUCAGGCCAUCUUGUGCAGGGCAAAAUACACAGUGUAGCUCAAACAAUGGAAAGAAAACUCUCCUGGCAAAGCAAAGGGAGCCAAGUUAAUUUUUCCCUGUUACCUUGAUGACAGUGAGCAUAAAGUGAUUUUCCUAAGUGAUGCCCAAACCAUCUUGUUAUUGGCAGCAGGCUUUGGGUAAAAUUUUCAAAAGUGCUUAAAUGACUUAGGAACCUCCAUUUUCAAAAUGGUCUUAGACACUUAGGCCCAGAUCCUCAAAGGUAGUUAAGCACCUAACUCCUAAUGGGAGCUUAAAUUAUCUUUGAGGAUCUGGGCCUUCGGAGCCUAUGUCCCACUGUCAUUCAAUGAGACUUAUGUCUUGUCUACACACAAAAGUUGUACCACUUUAACUAUAUCAGUACAGUUAAUUUUAUCAAUAUCAAUAUAAUUAAAGCAAUACAACCUCCCCAUGUGUGGAUUCAAUUAUAGCAGUAUAAAUGGGUUUAUUAUGAUAUAGAUUAUUCCAGUACAGGACGGGAAAGAACCUAUACCAGUAUAAAGCACCUUUAUGUCAGUAUAACCGUGUCUAUACUAGGGAUCGUACCCAUAUAACUAUCUUGGUAAAAAGUCACACCCUCAACCAACAUUCAAAAGUGCGUGUGGACCAAGGCUGUUGGCUCCAAAGUGCCUAAGUCACUUCUGAAAACGUGACCCUGUGUCUGUAUUCAAAGCUGCCCCGGUGCAAUGGAAGGUGUGAUUGUUCAACCAAUUUAGUGAAACUGAUGCAAAUCCAU